GUUGCUUUGUUGCUGUGUUCUGUUAUUUUGUUGUUUACCUUUUAUAGCUGAUGUGUUUCCCUUGAGUUAAGUUUGUAACCCGGAUUUUGCUUUCUCCAAUUCGAUUUAUGACUUCUGAACAGAGGUAUACUUCUGUUGCCUUUAUUUCUGAUAAUUUCAGAAAUUUACUUUUUUUUUUGGAUUUUUGUUGAUGAAGGCUCAUAUAGCUUUUAGUAAAG
This 218-nucleotide long non-coding RNA is filed under the name Mytilus galloprovincialis (Mediterranean mussel). The record is from RNAcentral. Lineage: Eukaryota; Metazoa; Mollusca; Bivalvia; Mytilida; Mytilidae.